GCCUACGGCCAUACCACCCUGAAAGCGCCCGAUCUCGUCUGAUCUCGGAAGCUAAGCAGGGACGGGCCUGCUUAGUACCUGGAUGGGAGACCGCCUGGGAAUACCAGGUGUUAUAGGCU
RNAcentral lists this ribosomal RNA (119 nucleotides) under Xenopus tropicalis (tropical clawed frog). The record is from RNAcentral. Lineage: Eukaryota; Metazoa; Chordata; Amphibia; Anura; Pipidae.